Non-coding RNA from Schistosoma mattheei, 38 nucleotides. The record is from Rfam. Lineage: Eukaryota; Metazoa; Platyhelminthes; Trematoda; Strigeidida; Schistosomatidae.
UGCUGAGGAGUCCCACAAUAGGACGAAACGGUCGUCCA